Molecule: long non-coding RNA, 511 nt
Filed under: Junco hyemalis (dark-eyed junco)
Lineage: Eukaryota; Metazoa; Chordata; Aves; Passeriformes; Passerellidae
Description: lncRNA (ENSJHYG00000000823.1)
Source: RNAcentral
UGGAAUAUUUUUCUCCCAGCAGUGGUAUGAGCAAGAGAAACUAAGCUCCAACAAAGGAGGAAACUGAAAACCUCCCCAGAAGGAUAUUAAUCAGACACGACAUGAGUAACCUGAAGAAGAGCACUCUUCAUACUGACAAAGUGGAAAUGGCAUCUAUCCAAACACACUGGCUCAAUGAGCCUUGGUUUUGAUGACCUUAUCCCUCGUUGGCCUUUCAGUUUAACUGUGUUUUAAUUGCAAGGUGACCCUGAAGACGUUUUCAUUUUUUUGAUUGUUUAAAGAGGCUUCAGGUAAACAUGACAUCUCAGAUGUAGAGAUAGGUAUAAUUGAAUGAAAGAUUUCAUUUGCCAGAAGUCUACUACAGUAAGAUCCUAAGGAAUUCAAAAAAAUGGAAAGAAUCAGUAAGGUUUUAGCGGAAUUUGAUAGGAGGCCCUAUACAAAUAUCCAGAUGAAACUCUAGCCAAUUAUUUUGUGCUGAAUAUUAUGCCCUGAUGAAAAUAAAAUACCUGAG